UACAGAGGUCUCAAGCGUUGUUCGGAUUCAUUGGGCGUAAAGGGUGUGUAGGUGGCGCCGUAAGUCGGGUGUGAAAUUUCGGAGCUUAACUCCGAAACUGCAUUCGAUACUGCGGUGCUUGAGGACUGGAGAGGAGACUGGAAUUUACGGUGUAGCAGUGAAAUGCGUAGGUAUCGUAAGGAAGACCAGUGGCGAAGGCGGGUCUCUGGACAGUUCCUGACACUGAGACACGAAGGCCAGGGGAGCAAACGGG
Molecule: ribosomal RNA, 253 nt
Filed under: uncultured bacterium
Lineage: Bacteria
Description: partial 16S ribosomal RNA
Rfam family: Bacterial small subunit ribosomal RNA
Source: RNAcentral